GAUCCUGGCUCAGGAUGAACGCUAGCUACAGGCUUAACACAUGCAAGUCGAGGGCAGCAUGUGGUGCUUGCAACCAAUGAUGGCGACCGGCGCACGGGUGAGUAACGCGUAUCCAACCUUCCCUAUAGUAGAGGAUAGCCCGGCGAAAGUCGGAUUAAUACUCUAUGUUUUCCAAUGCAGACAUCUAAAAUGGAACAAAGGUUCACCGCUAUAGGAUGGGGGAUGCGUCUGAUUAGAUAGUCGGCGGGGUAACGGCCCACCGAGUCGACGAUCAGUAGGGGUUCUGAGAGGAAGGUCCCCCACAUUGGAACUGAGACACGGUCCAAACUCCUACGGGAGGCAGCAGUGAGGAAUAUUGGUCAAUGGGCGAGAGCCUGAACCAGCCAAGUAGCGUGCAGGAAGACGGCCCUAUGGGUUGUAAACUGCUUUUAUACAGGGAUAAAGUGACGUACGUGUACGUUUUUGUAGGUACUGUAUGAAUAAGGACCGGCUAAUUCCGUGCCAGCAGCAGC
This 512-nucleotide ribosomal RNA is filed under the name uncultured bacterium. RNAcentral describes it as "bacterial SSU rRNA". It matches the Rfam family "Bacterial small subunit ribosomal RNA", at positions 15 to 518 of the family's 1533-position model. The record is from RNAcentral.